RNAcentral lists this ribosomal RNA (406 nucleotides) under uncultured bacterium. RNAcentral describes it as "partial 16S ribosomal RNA". It matches the Rfam family "Bacterial small subunit ribosomal RNA", at positions 29 to 526 of the family's 1533-position model. The record is from RNAcentral.
AUUGAACGCUGGCGGCAGGCUUAACACAUGCAAGUCGAGCGAGAGGCGGACGGGUGAGUAGUGUCUGGGAAACUGCCUGAUGGAGGGGGAUAACGACUGGAAACGGUAGCUAAUACCGCAUACCAUCAGAUGUGCCCAGAUGGGAGUAGCUACUAGGUGGGGUAAUGGCUCACCAGGGCGACGCUCCCUAGCUGGUCUGAGAGGCUGACCAGCCACACUGGAACUGAGACACGGUCCAGACUCCUACGGGAGGCAGCAGUGGGGAAUAGUGCACAAUGGGCGAAAGCCUGAUCGAGCCAUGCCGCGUGUGUGAAGAAGGCCUUCGGGUUGUAAAGCACUUUCAGCGGGGAGGCGGUACCCGAAGAAGAAGCACCGGCUAACUCCGUGCCAGCAGCCGCGGUAAUUC